Molecule: long non-coding RNA, 731 nt
Organism: Triticum aestivum (bread wheat)
Lineage: Eukaryota; Viridiplantae; Streptophyta; Magnoliopsida; Poales; Poaceae
Exons: 6
Source: RefSeq, a predicted model, not a curated record
CUCCUCAGCUGCUCCGACUCUCCGUAGUACUGCUCCUCCAGCUACCGGCCCUUCCCCUUCUAUUUUGAAUUUUCUAGAACAAUGGGUAAGCAGCUACCAACUAUGAAUGGAAUAAGUCUAAAAAGAAGCUUGGGUAUGCUGAUAUGUGCCUUCAGGUUAUAAGAUAAGGGAGCAAGUGAAACAACCCAGAAGCUUAUGAUAUUGUUACUGUGGAGAUACCCGGAAGCUUGCAUAUCCAGAAUCGAUCUUCACUUCAGCUACAAGUGAGAGGUAUUGCUGCCGAGCGUGACACCGCGCCGAUCUAUUUGAGCCCAACUGCAUCAAUUUUAGACGGAAGAUAAUGAUGCAAGGAGACCACCUGAGCACCUCCACUCCCUCAACACUGUCCCCCUACUGCCUGAGUUUACUGAAUAUUUUUUCUUGCUUCAACUAUAUCAAGGGAGCAAGUGCAACAACCCAGAAGCUUAUGAUAUUGCUACUGUGGAGAUACCCGGAAGCUUGCAUUGAUCCAGAAUCGAUCUUCACUUCAGCUACAAGUGAGAUGCAUUUCACUACGUGGCUAUGUGCACAUAAAUCAGUCAAGGAGCAGGCUUCAGUGAAGUGUGAUCCAGUACAUUUGUGAACAUUGUGCAGUUCUUGCUGAAUUCUGGACUUGACUGAACGGGUUCCCCCUAUUCCAAAUUUCUUUUUAAGUAUUUGGCAGUUAUCUUCAGCGUCCAAAUGGAAGUACU